Molecule: ribosomal RNA, 495 nt
Filed under: uncultured bacterium
Lineage: Bacteria
Description: partial 16S ribosomal RNA
Rfam family: Bacterial small subunit ribosomal RNA
Source: RNAcentral
GACGAACGCUGGCGGCGUGCCUAAUACAUGCAAGUAGAACGCUGAAGGAGGAGCUUGCUCUUCUGGAUGAGUUGCGAACGGGUGAGUAACGCGUAGGUAACCUGCCUGGUAGCGGGGGAUAACUAUUGGAAACGAUAGCUAAUACCGCAUAAGAGUAGAUGUUGCAUGACAUUUGCUUAAAAGGUGCACUUGCAUCGCUACCAGAUGGACCUGCGUUGUAUUAGCUAGUUGGUGGGGUAACGGCUCACCAAGGCGACGAUACAUAGCCGACCUGAGAGGGUGAGCGGCCACACUGGGACUGAGACACGGCCCAGACUCCUACGGGAGGCAGCAGUAGGGAAUCUGCGGCAAUGGACGGAAGUCUGACCGAGCAACGCCGCGUGAGUGAAGAAGGUUUUCGGAUCGUAAAGCUCUGUUGUAAGAGAAGAACGAGUGUGAGAGUGGAAAGUUCACACUGUGACGGUAACUUACCAGAAAGGGACGGCUAACUACGUG